UGGAGCUUUACUGUAGCCUGAUAUUGAAUUUUGGUACAGUUUGUACAGGAUAGGCGGGAGCCAUUGAAACCGGAGCGCUAGCUUCGGUGGAGGCGCUGGUGGGAUACCGCCCUGACUGUAUUGAAAUUCUAACCUACGGGUCUUAUCGACCCGGGAGACAGUGUCAGGUGGGCAGUUUGACUGGGGCGGUCGCCUCCUAAAGUGUAACGGAGGCGCCCAAAGGUUCCCUCAGAAUGGUUGGAAAUCAUUCGUAGAGUGCAAAGGCAUAAGGGAGCUUGACUGCGAGACCUACAAGUCGAGCAGGGACGAAAGUCGGGCUUAGUGAUCCGGUGGUUCCGCAUGGAAGGGCCAUCGCUCAACGGAUAAAAGCUACCCCGGGGAUAACAGGCUUAUCUCCCCCAAGAGUCCACAUCGACGGGGAGGUUUGGCACCUCGAUGUCGGCUCAUCGCAUCCUGGGGCUGUAGUCGGUCCCAAGGGUUGGGCUGUUCGCCCAUUAAAGCGGUACGCGAGCUGGGUUCAGAACGUCGUGAGACAGUUCGGUCCCUAUCCGUCGUGGGCGUAGGAAAUUUGAGAGGAGCUGUCCUUAGUACGAGAGGACCGGGAUGGACGCACCGCUGGUGUACCAGUUGUUCUGCCAAGGGCAUAGCUGGGUAGCUAUGUGCGGAAGGGAUAAGUGCUGAAAGCAUCUAAGCAUGAAGCCCCCCUCAAGAUGAGAUUUCCCAUAGCGUAAGCUAGUAAGAUCCCUGAAAGAUGAUCAGGUUGAUAGGUUCGAGGUGGAAGCAUGGUGACAUGUGGAGCUGACGAAUACUAAUAGAUCGAGGACUUAACCAU
This 832-nucleotide ribosomal RNA is filed under the name Bacillus sp. OA1. Its description in RNAcentral is "partial 23S ribosomal RNA". It matches the Rfam family "Bacterial large subunit ribosomal RNA", at positions 2094 to 2925 of the family's 2925-position model. The record is from RNAcentral. Lineage: Bacteria; Bacillati; Bacillota; Bacilli; Caryophanales; Bacillaceae.